RNAcentral lists this ribosomal RNA (200 nucleotides) under uncultured bacterium. RNAcentral describes it as "partial 16S ribosomal RNA". It matches the Rfam family "Bacterial small subunit ribosomal RNA", at positions 30 to 230 of the family's 1533-position model. The record is from RNAcentral.
AUUGAACGCUGAUGGCAUGCUUAACACAUGCAAGUCGAACGGCAGCAUGCUUGUAGCAAUACAGGUGAUGGCGAGUGGCGGACGGGUGAGUAAUGCGUAGGGACCUACCGAAUAGAGGGGGAUAACUCAGGGAAACUUGAGCUAAUACCGCAUAAUACCGAGAGGUUAAAGGGGGCGUAAGCUCUCGCUAUUUGAUGGAC